This 253-nucleotide ribosomal RNA is filed under the name uncultured bacterium. RNAcentral's name for it is "partial 16S ribosomal RNA". It matches the Rfam family "Bacterial small subunit ribosomal RNA", at positions 524 to 776 of the family's 1533-position model. The record is from RNAcentral.
UACGAAGGGGGCUAGCGUUGUUCGGAAUUACUGGGCGUAAAGCGCGUGUAGGCGGGUCUUUAAGUCAGGGGUGAAAUGCCAAGGCUCAACCUUGGAACUGCCUUUGAUACUGGAGAUCUUGAGUCCGGGAGAGGUGAGUGGAAUUCCUAGUGUAGAGGUGAAAUUCGUAGAUAUUAGGAAGAACACCAGUGGCGAAGGCGGCUCACUGGCCCGGUACUGACGCUGAGGCGCGAAAGCGUGGGGAGCAAACAGG